Long non-coding RNA from Anneissia japonica, 452 nucleotides. RefSeq lists it as uncharacterized. The record is from RefSeq and is a predicted model, not a curated record. Lineage: Eukaryota; Metazoa; Echinodermata; Crinoidea; Comatulida; Comatulidae. The transcript has 3 exons.
GUCUGUUCUCUACUCGCAAGUGAAAUAAUGUGCUUUCGGUUCUCUGAAAAAUCACAGUAGAAUAUCUCUUUAGUUGUGACUACCACUCUAUUUAUGACUUUUUUGGACAUGGAAAGCAAUUCUUACUACAAGAUUUGCUAAACAAUCUGCUAUUUGCAUAAUUCACCAGACCAUGGUCUCAUCACAAUGAUGUAUUAUGAUAUUAAUGAAUAUUCAUUGUCAGACACUUGAAACUACAAAAAUCAGGAAACUGCUGAAAUGACACCACAGCAAGAGCAACUUCUAGAUAGCAUGUGCAUGCGAAAUAACGCACGUUGCAACCUUCUACCGCUUGAAUAGGCCAGGGAACAUUUUUAAUAAAAAUUUCAGCAAACCGGUGGACUCAUCCUGCUCAGGUCAAUGGCUAUAAUGUUGCUUUCUUGUUUUGUGAGCCUCGUUAAUUCUGCUGAAUG